CCCUUAGAUGUCCUGGGCCGCACGCGCGCUACACUGAUGCAUUCAACGAGUUUUACCUUGGCCGAGAGGCCUGGGCAAUCUUUUAAACCUGCAUCGUGAUAGGGAUAGAUUAUUGCAAUUAUUAAUCUUGAACGAGGAAUUCCUAGUAAACGCAGAUCGUCAAUCUGCAUUGAUUACGUCCCUGCCCUUUGUACACACCGCCCGUCGCACCUACCGAUUGAAUGGUCCGGUGAAGCCUCGGGAUUGUGGCCAGUUCACUUUAUUGGGAGUUGGCUGCGAGAACUUGUCUAAACCUUAUCAUUUAGAGGAAGGUGAAGUCGUAACA
RNAcentral lists this ribosomal RNA (325 nucleotides) under uncultured eukaryote. Its description in RNAcentral is "partial 18S ribosomal RNA". It matches the Rfam family "Eukaryotic small subunit ribosomal RNA", at positions 1470 to 1796 of the family's 1831-position model. The record is from RNAcentral.